GGCUCUGUGGUCUAGUGGUAUGAUUCGUGCUUCGGGUAAAUCCCCAGUGUCGUCGGGCAUUGAGCAUGUGCGAGGUCUCGGGUUCGAUCCCCGACAGAGCCC
Molecule: non-coding RNA, 102 nt
Organism: Podospora australis
Lineage: Eukaryota; Fungi; Ascomycota; Sordariomycetes; Sordariales; Podosporaceae
Source: the annotation of a GenBank genome assembly